Nicotiana tabacum (common tobacco) is the source of this 7647-nucleotide non-coding RNA. The record is from RefSeq and is a predicted model, not a curated record. Lineage: Eukaryota; Viridiplantae; Streptophyta; Magnoliopsida; Solanales; Solanaceae.
GGAUGAGGGCUUUUCUCAGUAUAAUUUUAGUGUUUCGUUCUAUUUUAUUGGAAAAUAACUCUUGAGAUGACUCUGAGACUUGCACUUUUUUCCCAAUUUGUUUAACUGGAUAUCAUCUUUUUAUUUAAAAAUUGUAUUUUCUAUGGCUUGCACUCAUUAUGUUUUCCGCAAUAUGAAUGAGUGAUUGUCUCAUCAAAUCUUUUCAUGUAGAAGCCCCCAAAAUGGUAGAAUUUGUGUCUAACAAAAAGUUGUAUUUUAAUCCUUCUAUCUUGCUAAAUUCUGUUUAAAAUCUACAUUCUCUUCCAGGGACCUACAUCAAGUUCUGAAUCAAACUGUAGUUACUUCAAGUGGGCUACUGCUUCAACAUUUAAGGAAAAAGGAAAGUGAAGUCAAGAGCUCAGGCAUCUUUUUACUUGAUAAAUUGCAGAAUCAGACCCCAAGGAACUUCAGAUUGAGGUGUAGUUGCUGUUAAACUGCAUAUCAACAUAUUCAACAUUUGGUGUCAUAAUUAGCUGAAAUUAUGUAACAACUGCAUAAUUUUUGAUGUUUACCUGGAGGAGACCUUUGGUAUGAGGUGUGUGUUUCCAUUCUUUUUGCCAUUAUGUUCUUUGACACAAUUACUUGGCUGUUAAUCUUCCUUCACACCGUUACAUCCUCCCAUGUGCUUAUGUGAAUUUCACAUAUGAAGUUUGGGCAUUGGGGUGGGGUUAGGGGCUAUUGGUGUCCAUACAUAUUAUUAGGUCCACAUUGUAGAAUAAAAUAAUUCGUGAUCUUCUCAAAAAAUAUCAUUUAUUUUACUAAAAUUACCCAUUCGGUUGGCAAAAUCAUUGUGGCACUAAUUUUAUCUUUUCAGAAAGAUGUUGAAUUAGUUUUGGAAGUAAGCAUAUAACUAAUUUUCCAGGUGAAUUUAAAAUCUGGUUUCUAGCUAAAAGGAUGUUGAUUAGUUAUACGAAGAUGAUCAAUUUUCUGAUUUAUAUGCUUUCGUUGAGACAUGAAGCUUUUAAACAAAUUUUUGUCAUAAUUUUCUGUGAAGCAACUUUAUCAGAAAAAGUAAAUUUUAUUGAAGGGUUUGAAGUAACCAUGUUUUUUGUGUUUUAUUUUUCUUGCAAAACAACGGUCAGGACUGACAUGCUGAGAAUAAUUGACUCGAGAAAAUUAAUAGUUGAAAUUUGGAAUCGACUAAUAGUUUCAAUUUUUAAUUUAUUGGAUCUUCACUACGUCUAAUAGAAUGGAAAUAUGUCACCCUUUCAUGUCUUUUUAAUGAUUAAAAUUCAUUGUUUUUCUAGAAAACUGGAGAAUAUUUAUUUAGAAAUUAAAAUAAAAAUAUUUUGUAGUAUUUGUUUUUAUAAUAGCCUUUGUGAUCAAAGUACGUGAGAUCGUAUGUGGUGGGAGGUAGAGAAAAGUGUUGAUGGUGAUAGUGAUGAAUAGGUGGUGCCGAAAGCAAAGCUUUUUCUUAUUGCCCGAAAGAGUUCUCAAAGCUCAGUAGGGAGGAAGGACGAGGAGAGUGUGAGACAAUUAGGUGUUUUCUACUACUACUUAUUUUUUAUGGUGAGUAGAGAAUAUUCUUGAGAUCUGAAAAUUGGUAUAGUACUGCCAUCAUGGGUACUGCAAUUCUUUCUUGUUCUACUGAUUUAUUGCUCAAUUUGGUUGUUCAUGGAGUUAGUAUAUCUGGCGUGAACCUUUGGAUAGACUAUGCAAGAUCAAUAAUUAUAGUUGCACGGAGUACAGUAGAAUUCCUCGGUACGGUCAUUCGGAAAUCCCAGAUGCUCUAGCUAGGGCUGUUAGAGGCAACUCUGAUUUUGAUAAGUUACAUGUUGAGAUGACCAAGAAGGUAAGUCUGACAUCCAUUUGAAGUAAUUUUCUUGCCUACUGGGCUUCUGCAGUCUUAGGUAAUUGCAAUUGAUGUGCUGGAUAAGGUUAAUGACCGUGACACAGAGAUCAUGACUCUUUAUAAUAAAUGGAUAACUGCCAAUAGAGCUAUUUUGGCGAUUAUUUUACACCCUCUUUGUCUCCAUUCCUUACAGUCUUCCAUCAAGUACCCAAUAGGUGUAUCAUAUGUGAGAGUUUAAACACUUCUUGUUUAUGCAUGGAUUGGUCAGAUUAACUUUGGCUGCCAUUUCAAUUGUUCUUGCUGAAUUUCAUCUCUAUCACUCGAUCUCCAAUGCUUCAAAUUCGAAUACUAACCAAUGUAAAGAGUACAAUAUGUGCUUCGGUAGUGUAUCACUAAAGGUGCUGCUGAUCUUAUUGUCUUUUUUUUUUGAACAGUAGGAAAUAUAUUAAUAAUAACUAAGUGUCAAGUUUUGACAUACUACAACCCAUACUGCCGCAAUUGUCAUGAUUGACAGUUUUAGACUAAAGUUUACACUCACCAAAGAUGUUAGUUGGUCAUUCCAAUUAAGAACAAGAAAAGGCAGCGAUACAUUGGUAUGGUGACUGCUUGAUAGCACAACAUCCGUCUUAAGGGUAAAAUAGAUAGACAUUUUACUUAAUAUAUAGAAGAGCAAGAGAAGCAGGUCGAGGUCGUCAUGUGUGCUUGCCUACAAAAGGGUAUUCUGGUCAUUUCAACUUUAGUCUUUAAUUUCCCUUAAAACACCUGUAGGCGCUCUAACAGUGACAGCAACAAAGUAGUCGCCUAGAUUAUGAUGGGCGCUUGGGUUUCUAUGUUGCUGGCUCAACGCGUGGACUUCCAUGUAACAUCUGACCAUUUGAUAUUAUCAGUCAUAACACUAUCUCAAAGUUCCCAUCUCUCUCAACACCUCCAUGAAAUCUCUGCUUCCUCUCGCUGCUACUGUUUGUCUACGCUGGUCCUCAUCCUGUGCUUAGAGGUCUACGGUAUUUCAGUAUGACAGAUAGGUCACUUUCUAUCUCUGUCUGUUCAUCUUCUUUGUCUUUGUCUGCCUUCUGAUUUGUAUCUUUCAGAGAAAAAUUAAAUAGGUAAUUUCAAAGGCCAGAAUUGAAUUUGCUCUGCUUUUGUCUCUCUUAGCUCAGAAUUCCAUAACCUUCUUCUUCGCUGUAAGAAAGAAUUGGAGUUUGACUUGGAUUUUUGUACUUCGUUAGUUGCUAAAUUGAUAUAAUCACAUGGUUCACGGUCACCGCUGAUCUUCGCUCAGAAUUCCUUUGGCUUCUGCUUCUUCGUUGUAACAGAAAAUUGGGGUUUCGCUUGGGUUUUGCAGUUCAGUGGUUGCUCAAUUGACAUACUUUUUUCAUUAUAUGUUACUGUGAUUGUUUUAUUUUUGGGUUCUUGCUGAUUUAUUGCUCGAAAUUAAAUUGUAAUUUUAUGUUAAUUUUGUGAAAUUCAAAAAUACCUUGAAAGAAAUUGGGAUUUCCGUCUACUAUCUAACUAUUCUCCAUGUUUGUUUAUGUUUGAAGGUUUUUUGUAUUUUGACCAAGAGUUAUAAAUUGGGGAUUUAGAAUGGAUGAAGGUUACUUUGUUGGAUUUAAGCUACAAUUUUAGUCUACUACUGAUAUAUUUUAUUUUGUUGAUUUAUUUCAUUUUGUUAUUCUGAGUUUACAUGAAAAAAGUGAGCUGGUUCUUUAUUGUUUCAAAGAUUUGUACAUGGCUUCUUACUUUCGAGCUCAGUGAUUAGUAGCUUAUAUAUACAAAUUCAAUAGAACUUGUUUGGUGUUUUUGGAUUUGUAUGGUGCGGUAAGUGCAUACUUGUAGCUUUUAAUAUUCUUUCCUAACAAAUCAAUGUUCUCUCCCCUACCCACUAUUUUUCUGCAAAGGUCAGCCUUAUAUUUUGCCUUGCAGCUACAACAGCAAAGUUAGCAGCGACAUUAUUUAUGAUUUCAUGAUUAUUGUGUAUAUUACUUUCUUUUACCUAUUAUCUGGUUCCUACACUAAUACAAUACUUAACAUAUACUUCAUAGGCCUUUUUUACGCACUACCAGAUAUAGGAACUAGGUAUAUCUGUGCAAGCCUUUGUAUUGCAAUGUUAAUUCAACUUCUCAACUACCCUACUUUGCAAGUAUUUUUCCUUGUAAAUAUUGUACUCUUUACACUGACAAACUGUAUUUAUCGAAAUGAAACAUGCUCUAAUACAAAGUGUUGGAUUCUUUGUUUGUUUGAUUUUGUUUCCCGUACUAACUAUGUUAACAGUGAGAUUCCCUACAAUGUCAAUGAAGGAAUCCCUGAGAAGGGGCUUCCGAAGAUGGGGCAGAACAAGCUGCUUUUUUGUGCUUCCAUAUCUUUCUCUGCUGAAGAAUUGCGGCGUCUCACUAUGGCAGAAGGAAAAGUAGACAAAGAUUCAACUGGAGAAGUUUUGGACAAGGUUCAAUUUCGAGAUAAUUUAAUUGGAAAAGUUAUCAAAGAUAAUGAGCAUGACCGAACUGCUGCAAUUAAGUUACUUUUAGUAGGGUGGUUUUCCUGAUUUAAUAGGGGUUCCUUUAUUUGGAUUCUGUCACUUGUAUUUCUCUAAGUUCUUUGUGGCAUGACCAAGAGGUACUAUUUCUUCAUAUGAGUUAUGAAGUUACUUCUUGUAUAUUUUGUUUGUGGUUGUUUUUAUGCAGUAUUUUGAUUUUCAAUGAUAAAAGGUCUGUGCUGCUUAUGCUGUUUUCAAAGUGUAGUCUACACCUGAUGUUAAGAUUACAAGAGUUGCCGGAUUAAUUGAGGCUAGAACUGUACCUUGCUCAGCUGCGAGUAGAUGGAACACUAUUCCGUUGGCAUUAGAACACUUGAAAAAAAACAGGCAGAAUGCUUAAUAUGUUGGGCCCGUGCGAUAGCACGGGCAAUCUUCAUCUAGUCUACUAUAUAGAAGAGCCCUAAAGCAAGCAGGAGGCCGUCGACAUCCCUGCUUGGCGGGGUAACUUGGUCUUUUCUCAGUUUUAUGCUGGGUAGAAUUUCUGUUGUGCCCCCGCGUUUGCUGAUUUAUAUGUUUAGAGAAAGACUAAAUAGGUAAUUUCGGCUUCACCUUUGAUGGGAAUGACGGCCACCGCUUGGCUUUAGGAAAACUUUGCGCUGCUUCUCUGCCUUUCCUUUGUUUAGAAUUGCCAUCGCUUCUCCUUCUUCAUCGUUUGAUCCGCCAUCCUUAUGACUUUAAAGUCUUUGUGUUCAUUAACGGAAGAUCGAUUUUCUGAAAUAAAAAAUGAUACUGUAAUAGAAAAUUGGGGUUUUGCUGAGUUUCUUCACACUUCCAUAAUUGCUCCAUGAAGAUCAUAGUCAAAAGGUUAGUUUUACUGCUCUAUUUUAUUCCCUUUCUAUGUGUUUUGUGAUUGUUUUGUUUCAGGGGUCUUGUUAGUUGUUGCUUUGUGGUUCCAAAUGUCGUCAUAAUUUUCUCUUGAUUUUUUGAAAUUUAAAAAACAGCUUGAAAAGAAACUGGGCUUUCCGCUGAUUAUUUGAUGAUUCUCCAUCUUUAUUCUAUUUAAAGAUUUUGUCAUUUUGGCCAAGAGUAAUAAAUUGAGGAUUUUAGAAUGGAUGAGCCUGUGACUGACUUGGAUUUCAACUACUGUUUGAUCUGUUUCCUACUUAUUUCAUUUUUCCCCAAAUUUACAUGAAAAGGAUGAGUUAGGUUUUCAUUAUUUGGAACUUUUUGUGUUAUCGCUUCAUAUCUUUUAGCUGCCGUAAUUUUAGCUUCAUAAAAUUUGGUUACUAAUCUGACAGUGAUGUUUGGAAAAAGAGCUAAUAAUGAUCUAACUAGAGAAAGUAUAACAUAGAUGUGAUGUUCUAUAAUUAAAAUUCAACAAACACGUUUUGUAGAGAAAAAGUUAUCACAAACCUGCCCAGAAACACUGAUUUUCUUGUCCAAAUGUUUUUGGAGCUUCCAUACAUCGAAGUCGAAUUUAAUUUACAAAGAUGUAGCAGUUAAAUCAGUUGUUGUAAGAUUGGGGUCCCCAAAAAUGUAAGAUUGGGGUCCACAAAUUUGCGAGACAAAAAGGAGCCUCAUACAACUAGUGUAAGUUGUAUGAGACACAAAAUAAAACUUCUCGUGAGAUUGUAAGUUGCAUCAUACAAUAUGUAUGAUGACCACACUGAACAAUGGUUGCACAACUAUUAUACAUAAUUGAUUAGAUAAAAAAUAUAUCGUUGAUAGCCAGAUUGUUGUAUUUGCUCCAAAUAGCUACAAAAUUUUAAAGAAGAAUAUUUUUUACCCUGUUUGUGUAAUUGCAAAGUACACAAAUACUUCUGAUGACUUUAUUGGACAAGGAUUCAGCCUGCUGUUAGGUGUAAUAAUAAGAUAAAGAAGAUGCUGAAAUGAACAGUAUGCUUUGCUGGAUUUACUGGGAUGAUUUUUCAAAUUCUCAUAACUCAUGUUGGAUCUCGAGUUUUCAUUUUAGUGCGUGACAGAAAUAGAUUCACCAGCUGUCAUGGAGUCUCUAUCUUCUACUUUCGACUUCUUCUAUCAAAUUUUAAACUUUAAUAGGAUUAGAAAAAAACUACUGAAUGUAGUAAAUUGAAAAGGUUUAACUGAUAUUAAAGAAGAUUGGUUGCAGUAAAAUAUAGUAUAUGAAGGCUUAAGCUAUUUGGAAAGGAAGUUGCUUCUAAAAGAACAUCAUUUAAUUGAACUUAGGUCGGGGAUCUAUUGGAAUUAACAAGCUGAAAAAGAUUUAGUGCACUACCUGCCUAGGUAUUCUCAAGAUGAGUCAUAACAUGUCCAGUUGUGCACAUAGGAAGGCAUGAUGUGCUCUUACGAUAAUAGCAAAGUGGCUGCUUGAUUUGUAUCUAAUCAUCUGCUUUUCCCUCUCUGUUCCAGAGCUCCUUUUAACCUGUCACAUGCUUGACCAUGUGGUUGUUUGUUUAUUUGCUUCUUAUUUAAGUGAGCACCUAAUAAAGUUAUCUCAAUUUGUUUUGCAAUAUGUUCAAAUGCUACAUAACCUAUUCCAUGGUAAACUUACAGCAGGUAAGGCUAAAAUUGUGCCAUAUUUCUACUUUAAAGAUUCUCUAUAGUAGUUUGCUUAUCUUUCUUGGAAGUAACAACCCAUUAUCAUUUGUGUGUCCAUUUAGCACUUUUAUAUUUAUCUCCACUCGCUUAGUGCAUGCAUUUUUUAAAUACCCUAAUAAUAUAACCAAUCAGUUCUAAAGAUUCUUUUGAGUCAGAUGUCCAUAGUCACUCUUAAUUAUCUUAAAGAAAUUAGUUUUGUCAUGAUAGUUCAUUAGGACUAUCACCAAAUUUGGUGAGUACAGUUGGUUGAAUGCAUGACCUUAUAAUAGUAGAUCUAUAACGUAAGUGAAAUUAUUAUAUACUUUUCUUGCAAGCAGAGACUGAAGAACCAAGGUUGUAGAGAAUGGAAUCAAUAGAAAUGAAAGAAGCUCUUUUGAGAAAGAGGCUGAAUGUGGAGGAAAACUGUAGGAAAGCAUAUUUUCUUACUGAGAUUUGAGACACAAAAUUCAAUCAGUUUUCCCGUGAAAAUCAUAGAAACUGGUACUAUAAAACCUCUCUUAUGUUGUCUGUUGCUUGCUUAUGCUUCUGGUAUAAUAAGAGCGACUAUUGAGCUGGGCACUGUAGGUGAUACUCAAAAGGGAAACACAGGUUGCUUUACUUGAAGAUGCACAUUUUCUAUAUUUUAUGGGUAUUGCAUCAAAAAUACCUGGUUGUAGCUACCGAUGGUUGACUAGAUAGCAGUGGCGUUGUAGAUUCUUUUUAUAUCCUCUUUUGCAUUUGGUAUGAUAUAUCGAAAAGCCUAUUGGUUAUGAUAGUCCAGUUUCUUAUU